GUCUCCCUGGAGAAUUAAAGGAUAGGGAGUCGGACCUGCCCGGUGACUAAUUGUUAAACGGCCGCGGUACCCUAACCGUGCAAAGGUAGCAUAAUCAUUUGCCUUUUAAUUGGAGGCUGGUAUGAAUGGUUUGACGAAAGCUAAGCUGUCUCUUCUAAAAUAAAUAGAAUUUAACUUUUAGGUGAAGAGGCCUAAAUUAAUUUGAGGGACAAGAAGACCCUGUUGAGCUUGAGUGAAAUUAUAAAAUUAAAAGAUAAAUUUAUAAUCUUUAAUGUGUGGUUGACAACUAUGUUUUAUAAUUAAUCUUUAGUUGGGGCGACUGAGGAACACACAAAGCUUCCUUUAUUAAUUAAUGAAUUUUUGUGGCGUGGAACGUUGAUUUUGUUUUAUCAAAAUGUGCUUGAUCCAAAAGUUUUUGAUCAAAGGAAAAAGUUACCACAGGGAUAACAGCGUAAUCUUUCUUGAGAGAUCUAAUCGAAAGGAGGGUUUGCGACCUCGAUGUUGGACUAAGAUAUCCGAAGGGUGCAGAAGCUCUUGAAGGUUGGUCUGUUCGACCAUUAAAAUCUU
Molecule: ribosomal RNA, 567 nt
Filed under: Stomatellinae gen. 2 sp. JEU-2016
Lineage: Eukaryota; Metazoa; Mollusca; Gastropoda; Trochida; Trochidae
Description: partial 16S ribosomal RNA
Rfam family: Bacterial large subunit ribosomal RNA
Source: RNAcentral